Molecule: ribosomal RNA, 450 nt
Filed under: uncultured bacterium
Lineage: Bacteria
Description: bacterial SSU rRNA
Rfam family: Bacterial small subunit ribosomal RNA
Source: RNAcentral
AGUGAACGCUGGCGGCGUGCUUAACACAUGCAAGUCGAACGAGAACGGAUUAUAGCUUGCUAUAAUUGUCAGCUAAGUGGCGCACGGGUGAGUAAUAUAUAGGUAAUGUGCCCUAGAGAAGAGGAUAACAGUUGAAAACGACUGCUAAGACUCUAUAUGCCUUUAAGACAGAAGUCUGCAAGGGAAAUAUUUAUAGCUCUAGGAUCAGCCUGUACAGUAUCAGCUAGUUGGUGAGGUAAUGGCUCACCAAGACAAUGACGCUUAACUGGUUUGAGAGGAUGAUCAGUCACACUGGAACUGAGACACGGUCCAGACUCCUACGGGAGGCAGCAGUGGGGAAUAUUGCACAAUGGACGAAAGUCUGAUGCAGCAACGCUGCGUGGAGGAUGACACAUUUCGGUGCGUAAACUCCUUUAUAUAGGAAGAUAAUGACGGUACUAUAUGAAUAAG